ACGGGUGAGUAACACGUGGGUGAUCUGCCCUGUACUUCGGGAUAAGCUUGGGAAACUGGGUCUAAUACCGGAUAGGACCAUGGUUUAGUGUCUCAUGGUGGAAAGAUUAUUGUUUUGGUGCAGGAUGAGCUCGCGGCCUAUCAGCUUGUUGGUGGGGUAAUGGCCUACCAAGGCGUCGACGGGUAGCCGGCCUGAGAGGGUGGACGGCCACAUUGGGACUGAGAUACGGCCCAGACUCCUACGGGAGGCAGCAGUGGGGAAUCUUCCGCAAUGGGCGAAAGCCUGACGGAGCAACGCCGCGUGAGUGAAGAAGGUCUUCGGAUCGUAAAGCUCUGUUGCCGGGGACGAAUGUAGGCAGUGCAAACAGCAUUGUGUAAUGACGGUACCCGGCGAGGAAGCCACGGCUAACUACGUGCCAGCAGCCGCGGUAAUACGUAGGUGGCGAGCGUUGUCCGGAAUUAUUGGGCGUAAAGGGAGCGCAGGCGGGCGAGUAAGUCUUUCUUAAAAGUGCGGGGCUCAACCCCGUGAGGGGAGAGAAACUACUCAUCUUGAGUGCAGGAGAGGAAAGCGGAAUUCCUAGUGUAGCGGUGAAAUGCGUAGAUAUUAGGAAGAACACCAGUGGCGAAGGCGGCUUUCUGGACUGUAACUGACGCUGAGGCUCGAAAGCCAGGGGAGCGAACGGGAUUAGAUACCCCGGUAGUCCUGGCCCAUAAAC
This 715-nucleotide ribosomal RNA is filed under the name uncultured bacterium. RNAcentral describes it as "bacterial SSU rRNA". It matches the Rfam family "Bacterial small subunit ribosomal RNA", at positions 102 to 807 of the family's 1533-position model. The record is from RNAcentral.